This 902-nucleotide ribosomal RNA is filed under the name uncultured bacterium. RNAcentral's name for it is "bacterial SSU rRNA". It matches the Rfam family "Bacterial small subunit ribosomal RNA", at positions 27 to 906 of the family's 1533-position model. The record is from RNAcentral.
GAACGAACGCUGGCGGCGUGCCUAACACAUGCAAGUCGAACGUGAUUAGAGAGCUUGCUCUCUAUGAAAGUGGCGCACGGGUGAGUAACGCGUAGAUAAUCUACCUGAUGAUUUGGGAUAACACUUCGAAAGGGGUGCUAAUACCGAAUAAGCCCACGGAGUCCUUGGACACUGCGGGAAAAGGAGGGGACCUUCGGGCCUUCCGUCAUCAGAUGAGUCUGCGUACCAUUAGCUAGUUGGUAGGGUAAAGGCCUACCAAGGCGACGAUGGUUAGCUGGUCUGAGAGGAUGAUCAGCCACACUGGAACUGAGACACGGUCCAGACUCCUACGGGAGGCAGCAGUGGGGAAUUUUGCGCAAUGGGGGAAACCCUGACGCAGCAACGCCGCGUGAGUGAUGAAGGCCCUUGGGUCGUAAAGCUCUGACAGAGGGAAAGAAAUGUGGGUGGCUAAUAUCCAUUCCACUUGACGGUACCCUCAAAGGAAGCACCGGCUAACUCCGUGCCAGCAGCCGCGGUAAUACGGAGGGUGCGAGCGUUGUUCGGAUUUAUUGGGCGUAAAGCGCGUGUAGGCGGUUUUAUAAGUCUGAUGUGAAAGCCCCGGGCUCAACCUGGGAAGUGCAUUGGAUACUGUAAGACUUGAAUACGGGAGAGGGCAGUGGAAUUCCUGGUGUAGGAGUGAAAUCCGUAGAUAUCAGGAGGAACACCGGUGGCGAAGGCGGCUGCCUGGGCCGAUAUUGACGCUGAGACGCGAAAGCGUGGGUAGCAAACAGGAUUAGAUACCCUGGUAGUCCACGCCGUAAACGAUGAGUACUAGGUGUUGCGGGUAUUGACCCCUGCAGUGCCGCAGCUAACGCAUUAAGUACUCCGCCUGGGGAGUACGGUCGCAAGACUAAAACUCAAAG